UUUUUUAGGAGGGUAUCGAGUUUAAGCACAAGAUCGAGUAAAACGACGCUAAAAGUUAGAGGAACGAGUUUCGAGGUAAGUGUUUUGACGAAACCCCCUAACAAGAAGCCUUUUAUAUGGUUCCACCAAGGAGUUCCUUCGUUCCUGGUUCCGAGCCCUAUGCACUCGGCCUGCUACUUGGUGGCUCCCUUCGAGUUCAUGCCGGAACACUUACUGGCAGUCUCCUAAAAUACGAGGUUCGUCCGUAGUUCCUACUUAAACUGCGCAUACACGUAUUACGACUAGAACUUCUGAAGCACAGUCUAUUCACGAGUGUUGUGAUGAUGGAUUGACUAAGGAAACACUCUUCCAAAUUUAAAUGUAGGAGCGCGAUAAGAGUGUGAUAAAAUAAACUAGAAAUACUAUUUAGUAUAUGGUACCUGGAUCUUCUAAAAUUAUGACGAACAUUUGAGGGCGUCACCCCGUUACAAUCACUUGGAGCGUUUAGACUUAUAUUUCUGAAAGAACGAUCAUAGUGACACCCCCUUAGAUCUCUUUAGUGUGUUCGAUGGUAUCCCCGGUAAGUAAAGGGAACGUAAGUAAUAAAACGAGAGAAAUAUCCAUCUACGUAAUUGACAUUUCUACUCCGAACAGUGUGCACGAAGGUCUAGCAUCACAGGAGUUCUCACGUCAUAAUCCACUAUUUGUUAUAUUGAACCCCCGGUAACAACGUGCUUCCAACGUAGAAUUGUCAUAUUCACUUCUAAACAAACCACCUUAAAUACGUUGGGCACAUCGAUUAAUAGAAUUACAUGGGUAUGUACAUUUACUAUACCUUAAUGGAGGACGAAUAGAUCUAAUAUUACGAUACCAAGUGGUAGUCAAACAACUAUCCUGCUUGUCGGAGAAGUCAUGGCUGAUUAGAAGCUGUCUGCAGCGUGACAGGUACAACGAGAGGGACGAGGAUGAAAGAAACUGAAAGUCCGUUUUUCCUCUAUACAAUAUUGAUCCUUCCUCCGCUUGCUCAUGCUCUCCUCCUGCCUCCGUCGAGCGGAGGUUCGACGUCGGGCAGUCCGUCAUCGGCGACGUACAGUCAUACUGGGGUCGAUGCUAAAACCUAUAGGCAGUCCGGUCGCAACCGGUAUCUGGUUGAAUCCGGUUUUCGGAUUCGAACCCCCUCAUGAGAACUCUUAAGCCUCCUCCUUGGGCGGAACGUUACGGCUUCUGUUAGACGCGCGGCCUGAGUAGCAGUAACUUCGGACCAAGUCCCCGAUGACUCCCUCAGGAUCUAAUCCCCCAGGAGCCUGUCGGCCUGAUAUACGAAUACGGCCCGACAACAUGAUACUUCUAUGUUCUAACUUCUGAAGCAGAGCACAGGCCCUCCCUGAGAGGAAACGCACCUUCCGUUCGAACCGUUGAACCUAUACAUCUAAGGGAAGAGACAUUGGCUGAGACACAUUGGGAUCGGGGGGGCCACAGAUAUAUUUGGCCUCCUGUUGUUGUUUGUAUUAGUAUCCCAUCGAAGAUCCCAAAUCGGAGAUGCUAGAGUACCAUCUAGUUGAGAACAUUAUGAGUAUAGUAGUUCUAGUUAGUUCGUCCUUCAUCCGAUAAUGGAGGUAUCUCUCCCGAGCUUGGACCCAUUUG
This 1623-nucleotide ribosomal RNA is filed under the name Triticum aestivum (bread wheat). Its description in RNAcentral is "partial small subunit ribosomal RNA". The record is from RNAcentral. Lineage: Eukaryota; Viridiplantae; Streptophyta; Magnoliopsida; Poales; Poaceae.